Molecule: long non-coding RNA, 837 nt
Organism: Ornithorhynchus anatinus (platypus)
Lineage: Eukaryota; Metazoa; Chordata; Mammalia; Monotremata; Ornithorhynchidae
Exons: 2
Source: RefSeq, a predicted model, not a curated record
GCCAAGGUCACAAAGCAGGCAAGAUUAGCACCCAGGUCCCCUGACUCCCCAGCCCGUCCUCUUCGGUUAGCCAUAUUGUGUUUUUUGAUUGGCACCUCCUCAGUUGAUGAGGUUUGACAGGAGUAGAAGGUGGUUAGUUGAAACUAGCAGCCACACUUUGGGCUCACGAAGUUACCGCGCGGGACUGCGGUCCAGAACCAAGAAGGAAGAACUCAACUGUCAGAGGAGUCCCUGUGGAAGGAAACCUCAUUGUAAAAGUCAGUUUUCAGCUCCGAAUCACAGAUGUCUUACUAAUCAGCAGGGCUGGGAAGGAAAACAAGCAGAGCACGAUGCCCAUGUAAUGGUCUGAGUAAUAUAUUAAACUCAUAUAUCAAAAAUGAACAUGUGAUAGGAGAGAAUGCAGAAAUUAAAAAACAAGCUUUUCCAAGAUGGAUCUCUAUUAAUUCGCAUAGUAAAUGCACACUUUUAUUUUUCCCUGUUGAUUGGAAGAGUAUUAAUGAAGAACAGAUCUUAGGCUAAAUGUAUAAGCACUUCUAUCCGAAGGUCUGAUAAACCAGAUUUGGCCUUUGCCGAUGUUUCGAUGUGUACUAAUGUCUUUCCCUCGCGCUGCAGAUGAAGAGCCCCGCCGUCAAGUAGAUAAGUUUGAUGAAAUAGUUAAAACAGAUUUACCACGUGCCUGUCCUUUUAGACCAGCCCCCAGCAGAAGCACAUCUCGUAAUGCCAAACGAACAAUCGAUGGUCUUUAUUGAGCGUUUUCCGUGGGCGGAGCGCUCGGCUAAGCACUUGGGAUACGACGGCAAUAAGAUGCUCUCGGAUAUGAGAUGCGCAUUUACUACA